GAUGAACGCUGGCGGCGUGCCUAAUACAUGCAAGUCGAGCGAACAGACGAGGAGCUUGCUCCUCUGACGUUAGCGGCGGACGGGUGAGUAACACGUGGAUAACCUACCUAUAAGACUGGGAUAACUUCGGGAAACCGGAGCUAAUACCGGAUAAUAUAUUGAACCGCAUGGUUCAAUAGUGAAAGACGGUUUUGCUGUCACUUAUAGAUGGAUCCGCGCCGCAUUAGCUAGUUGGUAAGGUAACGGCUUACCAAGGCAACGAUGCGUAGCCGACCUGAGAGGGUGAUCGGCCACGCUGGAACUGAGACACGGUCCAGACUCCUACGGGAGGCAGCAGUAGGGAAUCUUCCGCAAUGGGCGAAAGCUUGACGGAGCAACGCCGCGUGAGUGAUGAAGGUCUUCGGAUCGUAAAACUCUGUUAUUAGGGAAGAACAAAUGUGUAAGUAACUAUGCACGUCUUGACGGUACCGAAUCAGAAAGCCACGGCUAACUACGUG
This 497-nucleotide ribosomal RNA is filed under the name uncultured bacterium. Its description in RNAcentral is "partial 16S ribosomal RNA". It matches the Rfam family "Bacterial small subunit ribosomal RNA", at positions 28 to 507 of the family's 1533-position model. The record is from RNAcentral.